Molecule: long non-coding RNA, 931 nt
Organism: Folsomia candida
Lineage: Eukaryota; Metazoa; Arthropoda; Collembola; Entomobryomorpha; Isotomidae
Exons: 3
Source: RefSeq, a predicted model, not a curated record
AAAAUAUUUCCCAACUUACGCAAGUAUCACCAGUUCCAACCAGCUACAUAUACGUCCCGAUGGACAUAAAUUCUAUACGAUAUCUAUGGAUUCGCUAACUUGGCAACAACAAAUUCUCAAUUUAGUGUUGACACGAGUGGCAUCUGUUCGCAUUAAUUUAUGUAUUGAUUGGUGAAUAAAUAAUUUAGUAUUUUGGAACAACCCAAAUUUGGAGCGGGGUCACAGAGCUCCCCGUGGUGGCGACGGCGGCAGAAAAUUACCGAAUUCUACGAUCCUCGGAUGAACACGCGGCAGACGUGAAAUUAAUGCGGGACGUGGGACCCUUUUUCGCCACGCUUUAUAUCCUGUCAUUUUUCCUCCUCUGUUCCGGAAUAUUUUCCAUUUUGGCGUCCAUCACGGAUCAGGCGAGAUGGGUGGUCAGAUUGAUAAAAGUGGCGAAUUUUUUCUCCACCCUGCUCUACUGCGGAAUCAUCUUGGUUAUCGUGUACAACUUGAAUCCGGCAAGUUUUCGAUCCGACAAGAAAUUAGGAAAUAUCGGAUUAUCCUGGGAGACAUAUGUGUAUUGCGGAUUUGUAUAAUUCGCAAUAGUUUCAUGGAAUAAGAAACUGAUCAAAAUGCUCGAAAGAAAAAUUCAACGGAGGCAACGAGCAGAUGUGUAAGAAAUUAGCCCAGCCCAGCAUUUCAAACUUAACAUUGUUAAGCUUACGCGCUUAUUUCUAAGCUUAUUUUUAAGCUUACCUUACUGUUGUAAGCUUAAAGCAUGGAAAUCGAAAAACUUAUCGUCCACAUACUAAUAUAUUUUAAUUCCGAAUCAAAAGUCUGUCUUCGGUUUUACAUUUACCACUUUUGUCAUACAUAUUUACAUAUUUAUAUUUGCAUUUCACAAAAGGAAAUUUUAGUACACUCAAAAUAAAAAUUUGUCGAAUCAACA